This 382-nucleotide RNase P RNA is filed under the name marine eukaryotic metagenome. RNAcentral describes it as "Bacterial RNase P class A". It matches the Rfam family "Bacterial RNase P class A". Rfam says of the family: Ribonuclease P (RNase P) is a ubiquitous endoribonuclease, found in archaea, bacteria and eukarya as well as chloroplasts and mitochondria. Its best characterised activity is the generation of mature 5'-ends of tRNAs by cleaving the 5'-leader elements of precursor-tRNAs. The record is from RNAcentral.
GAGUCGACCGGGUGAUCGCGGGGCCGCAGAUGAUGCGGCGUCGAGGAAAGUCCGGGCUCCACAGGGCAAGGUGGUGGGUAACGCCCACCCGGGGUGACCCGCGGGAUCAGUGCCACAGAAAGCAAACCGCCUCCGCGAGAGCGGCGGUAAGGGUGAAACGGUGGUGUAAGAGACCACCAGCGGCGCAGGUGACUGCGUCGGCUCGGCAAACCCCACCUGGAGCAAGGUCAAGAGGAUCGGUUCGCUGAUCUGCGCGGACGGGCGGCCCGCCCGAUGUUCGCGGGUAGACCGCACCAGGCCGCUGGCGACAGCGGUCGCAGAUGGAUGAUCACCCCCCGUGCUCCGUGCACGGGGACAGAACCCGGCUUACAGGUCGACUCGU